CAUUAAAAACGGUACAUUCACAUAUCUCAUUCCAACUUCCCCAAGACUCUUCCUCUCCCCUUGAACCCUAACGCACGCGGCAAAACUCAUGACGGCAAACCUCACGGCGGCAACCCCCACUUCUCACCUAACCGGCGGCAACCCUCUUCUGACCUAAGUGGUGGCUACAAUUGAUCCUUCUCCUCUCCUCUCCUCUCGAACCUUAAUACCAGCUCUGAUGGUGAUGAUGGCGAAAUCGCCACAAACAAACAACGGUUAUAGCAGUGGAAAACCGCCACAGGUAAACCUUUUCCUGAAAUUGUUGAACCCUAAAUCAAUUCUUCAUUUGCUAUUGUUACAGAUCCAGGAACCUAAAGCCAAAAUCUCCCUUCACAAGAAACUAAAACGACACCGACCUUUGGUUUAGCGAACACAAGGUGUUGGAUUUAUGGUUCUGGUCACAAGUUAAGAAAGCAUACCGUGAAUCAUAGAUCAAUAAAACGAUUGACUGGUUAAUGAACAAAGCUCUUAUACCACUGGUUGGAUCUAUUACUUGAUGUUUACUUAAAUCUUGUUAAUUGUUAAAGCAUGAGAAGUAUCAAACACAAAUACGUUAUUAAUCAAUCAAGAAGAAUAGAGUACCCAAAAGGGUACUGGGGCCAGGAUUCCCUCCACAAUCCUUUCUUUAUUGUCUUGAGUAAAAGGGAUAAUAGAGUUAGUUGCCCAAAGUAGACAUCUAGCAAGUCUGUUCGGAUACAAAACAUUAGCAAAUCAUCUGUUGUCAAACAUCACACUUUUCAAGGAUAGAAUGUUAGGCUCAAUCGUUCAUAAAAGAAGAGGACCAUAACAUCAUAUACAUAUAACAUAUAGGUAAAAGUACAAAACUAAAUGAGCUUGUUUUUUAGGCUCGGGCUCGAUAAGCGAAGCUCGGGCUCGGACUCGUUUACUAAAUGAGCUUGUUUUUUAGGCUCGGGCUCGAGCUCGUUUAAGCUCGGCUCGUUCAUAUUUUAUGGUCAACCCCCAUGUAUUGUUAUUGUCUAUGUACAUAAACAAUGGCAUUUGGGUCCAAGAAUUUUACAAAUGUUUUCUUGUUUUCUUUCUUAGAAUUUUGAGCCAUUUGGUUACAUUUCACAGCAAACAAUAGCCCUUUGUUCCAUUCUCUGGCCCCUCAUUGCUUCUCUGGUUAAUUUGUCAUUAGUGGCCAUUUGGGGUGGGUGAGAUCUGUUACGUUUAGUCCAAAUAACCAGUGGUUCUGCAGAUCGAACGAUUAAGGAAAGUUAAGGUUGACACUAACAGGGCAUAUAGAACAAGUUAGAGGUCUCGCUGUUAGUACCAGGCAUACCUACAUUUCUCUGCUGGUGAUGACAAACAAGUUAAAUGCUGGGACCUAGAACAAAACAAGGUUAUUCUGUCAUAUUAUGGCCAUCUGAGUGGUGUUUAUUGCUUGGCACUUCAUCCCACUAUUGAUGUUCUUACUGGCGGUCGUGAUUCUGUUUGCUGAGUAUGAAAUUAACAUUUGGCAACUUAACAUUUUCAGGUAUGGGACAUUCGCAGCAAGAUGCAAAUUCAUGCUCUGUCAGGCCACGGCAAUACAGUCUGUUCAGUGUUUACGCGACCUACUGAUCCUCAAGUUGUAAUCGGCUCCCAUGACUCCACCAUUAAGUUCUGGGAUCUUAGAUAUGAGUAUAUCCCGCUAAUUGGAUCGGAUGAUGCAAGAUACACUUUGUUGGGAGUGCCCAACUUUGAAUAAUGAAGCGACUUCGUUUUUUGAUCGAGCCGAGCUUAUAAAAAAGUGAAUUUGGAUCGAGCCGGUGAGAUAUCGAAGGAGAUUAUGUCGGUUCGAAAGACGAUCGAGCAGGUGAAGCUUGUGACGAUGGAAGCUCAGAUGGUUGAAAAUUCUUUAGGCAUACAUGGAGAUGAGAUAUUGUAUGUUGGCGAUCGUAUAUACCCAGAUGUAAGCGUUUCUAAAGUACAUCUUCAUUGGCGGACUACCUUAAUUUGUCUGCUAAUUUUUCUGGUGUUCAGUGAUGCAGGUGAUCGAAUCGAACUGUUACCAAGGGUGAAUAGCACUCAUCGAAGGUGAAUGGCAAAUGAUUUGGAGUUUACGGAUAGUCACAGGUAGUUGGAUAGAGAAUGCAGCCAAUGCGCGAUUAACACCCGGUCUAGCUGUUGAGAAGCUUGGAACAAGAAGAUGGCGUGAUGUUAAGUUACACCCGAUGCAAAGCACAAGACUUACGUGAAGAAAGAACGCGAAGGUUAAGAUUUUGUGUACUGUAUGUACGUAUGGACAAUAAUACCAGAGUUGACUUUGUCUCCAUAACCACGUGAUGGCCGAUGAGCACGAAAAAGACUCGGUGGAAAUGCUGGAAGAAAAUCACCCUAUUGAUAUCAGCAAAUACGCUAAAACCGUCAUCGGACCAAUCUACGAAAAGUUUCAGGACGUUCCUUUGGACCUCUUGUAGUUUACAUUUGUUUCAUGUAUUAAUCAAAUUGGCACUUUGUUUCAUGUAUUAAUCAAUGUUGAUGUUUGUGACAUUAUCUAUGAUUUUAGUGCCUUUUAGUUUACAUUUGUUUCAACACAUAUUAAGAUCAAUACCAACACAUCUUUAACAUUUACCUACACAUAAUAUUACUUUUACCUACAUAUAACAUUACUUUUACCUACACAAAUAUUCAUGCCACGUCACCUGCCACGUCGGAUGCCAUGUCACUUGCCAUGUCGGAUGCCACAUCACUUGCCACGUCACCUGCCACGUCAGAUGCUACGUCACCUGCCACGUCAUGCCACGUCACCUGCCUUCUAAACAAAUUGUUGUACUUUUAACCACACAUAUAAAUGCCUUUUAGCCACACAUAUAUGUGUAAGUAUAGCUUGCUAUAUACCUACACAUAACUUAUGUGUGGGUAAUGGCCUAUAUCCACAGUCACGAGUCUACACAUCAUUACACUUAAUUUAUGUGUAGGUAAAGACAACUACCAACAAACUAUAUGCUUUUUCCCACACAUACUUUGUGUUGGUAAAGCACCAAAUUUCUUGUAGUGGUAAAAGUAUAUGUAAUUCUUUGUUCAUUUCACAAUUUUAUAGAGACUCAUUAUGGUAAAGUAUCUGCAAGUAUUUUUUUUUCUACCAUUCUUUGUUAAAUGAGGAUCUGUCACUAACAAAAAGUAUAUAAAACAAUACAUGCUGCGGAGAAUCAUUAAUCUCAAAAUCUUAAAACUCUUUAUUCAAUAAUUUUCAAAAGUCAAAAAAUAACAAGAGAUGGGUCAGAGAGAGCUAGUACAUUGUUGCCAACAUCAUGUCGAUAUCAAAUUUCAAUUCCCACAAUCCCACUUAUGUCAUAUUGGGGUGGAUAUUGGGCAAUGAUGGUGACAAACCCACCGAGGGGGGUUCGAUCCUGAGCCGCACCCCAGUUUUCAUCCGGCAUCUCGUGUGGAGGUGGUACGGUUUCCAGGGGAACGCCGUAACCAAGUCUGAACAACCCAGUGCGCGGGCUAGGUUAAGACAAUGUAGUCUGGGCAGAUCUUGGCUAGGGCAGACGUUUAGGUGGUGUGACAUUGGGUCACUCAAAAAGAAAGUCAUCGUUCAAAAAAAAAAAAAAAAAAAACCCAAA
Molecule: long non-coding RNA, 3590 nt
Organism: Helianthus annuus (common sunflower)
Lineage: Eukaryota; Viridiplantae; Streptophyta; Magnoliopsida; Asterales; Asteraceae
Exons: 12
Source: RefSeq, a predicted model, not a curated record